CGGCCUCAUCGCAGGGUUGCCCGCCCCUUCCCCUCCCUGCUCCCCCUUCCCCCCCCCCCCCCCCCGCCCCCCCCCCCCCCCCCCCCCCCCCCCCCCCCCCCCUUCGUGGUGACGCACCGGAUUUGGGUCGUCUUGCCUUCGGUUAAGUGACCUAAAAUUUUGCAUGAUUUUUUUCGAACGUAUUUAAAUGAUUUUACGUACGUUUGCGAUAUCGAAUACUAGGUGUGGUCAUCCUCAUGAUUCGCGCCUAUAAUUUUUCAUCAAAAUGACCUCAAAUCAGGUAAGAGUACCCGCUGAACUU
This 301-nucleotide unclassified non-coding RNA is filed under the name Glomus sp. RNAcentral's name for it is "partial contains internal transcribed spacer 2 and large subunit ribosomal RNA". Lineage: Eukaryota; Fungi; Glomeromycota; Glomeromycetes; Glomerales; Glomeraceae. The record is from RNAcentral.